UGGGCAGGUAACAAUGCAUUGGGCAAGUCU
Molecule: non-coding RNA, 30 nt
Filed under: Mus musculus (house mouse)
Lineage: Eukaryota; Metazoa; Chordata; Mammalia; Rodentia; Muridae
Source: RNAcentral